GCCAAGCCGUGUGGGGUGCGCCUGAGCGGGGAAGCCCGCAAACAGGUGGAAGUCUUCAGGCAGAAUCUUUUCCAGGAGGCGGAGGAAUUCCUCUACAGAUUCUUGCCACAGAAAAUCAUAUACCUGAAUCAGCUCUUGCAAGAGGACUCCCUCAAUGUGGCUGACCUGACUUCCCUCCGGGCCCCACUGGACAUCCCCAUCCCAGACCCUCCACCCAAGGAUGAUGAGAUGGAAACAGAUAAGCAGGAGAAGAAAGAAGGUAAGAGAGAUAAGAGGUGGUUGGGGAAGGGGAGAUGGCACAUUGACUACUGGAUGAGAAAGGGCCUGAAUCCCCUCUUUCUCACAGUCCCUAAGUGUGGAUUUCUCCCUGGGAAUGAGAAAGUCCUGUCCCUGCUUGCCCUGGUUAAGCCAGAAGUCUGGACUCUCAAAGAGAAAUGCAUUCUGGUAAGCCUGGGAAAUGGGGGAAGCAGAAAGAGAAGACACAAGGUGAGGCCCUGGACUCCUCCGUAGAUACAAGUCCUUCAUACAGAGACCAAGUCCUGAAAAAGAAAACUUCCUUCUGUGCCUUGGGCUUAGAUCCCCUUUGUUCUCCUCGUUCUGUUAGACCUCUCUUACCACAACAGUACCCCAAAAUUAGAGACUGUGCAGUAUCCACUCUGUAACCUCAGAACCUACUGCUGUAUUGGGUUCAUAGUAGAG
RNAcentral lists this small RNA (699 nucleotides) under Pongo abelii (Sumatran orangutan). Its description in RNAcentral is "retained intron". The record is from RNAcentral. Lineage: Eukaryota; Metazoa; Chordata; Mammalia; Primates; Hominidae.